Molecule: long non-coding RNA, 420 nt
Organism: Pseudopipra pipra
Lineage: Eukaryota; Metazoa; Chordata; Aves; Passeriformes; Pipridae
Exons: 3
Source: RefSeq, a predicted model, not a curated record
UUCACUUUCCUCACAGGUUGUGGAGGGCUCUGUGACACAGCAGCUAGAUACACCCUGAGCCAGCUGUUUGCUGUGGAGCUCAUGCAGGAGCAGGUUUAUCCUUAGGACCCACACUGGAGCAGAAGAGAACCCUGAGGAGAAAGGAGCUGCAGAGAGGGUGCUUUCCUGCAGCCAGCGGGGACGCAGCACUUCCUUCCUGUCCCAAGCAUCCUGAGGCAGAGGCUGAUCUCCCACAGGAUGUUUUGGAGAACAUAGAAACUGCCAGAAAGUGUAAUAGCACGGAACAUCAGAAAGGCCUGUCCUUUGUGAAGGUGGAGCACAACAAAGCUGGUCUUUAGUGAAAAUCUUGCAGCAUUAACAAAGAGCUUCAAUCAAAUUAAGCAGGAGUGCACCUGUUAAAUUCUUUCUUCAUCCUGAAAC